This 400-nucleotide ribosomal RNA is filed under the name uncultured bacterium. Its description in RNAcentral is "partial 16S ribosomal RNA". It matches the Rfam family "Bacterial small subunit ribosomal RNA", at positions 338 to 735 of the family's 1533-position model. The record is from RNAcentral.
CCUACGGGCGGCAGCAGUGAGGAAUAUUGGUCAAUGGACGCGAGUCUGAACCAGCCAUGUAGCGUGAAGGAUGACUGCUCUAUGAGUUGUAAACUGCUUUUGUAAAGGAGUAAAAGGAGACACGUGUGCCUGUUUGAAAGUAUUGUAUGAAUAAGGAUCGGCUAACUCCGUGCCAGCAGCCGCGGUAAUACGGAGGAUCCGAGCGUUAUCCGGAUUUAUUGGGUUUAAAGGGUGCGUAGAUGGUUUGUUAAGUUAGUUGUGAAAGUUUGCGGCUCAACUUUAAAAUUGCAAUUGAUACUGGUAGGCUAGAGUGCAGUUGAGGUAGGCGGAAUGUGUGGUGUAGCGGUGAAAUGCUUAGAGAUCACGAAGAACCCCGAUUGCGAAGGCAGCUUACCAAGCU